This 253-nucleotide ribosomal RNA is filed under the name uncultured bacterium. RNAcentral describes it as "partial 16S ribosomal RNA". It matches the Rfam family "Bacterial small subunit ribosomal RNA", at positions 524 to 776 of the family's 1533-position model. The record is from RNAcentral.
UACGGGGGGGGCAAGCGUUGUUCGGAAUUACUGGGCGUAAAGGGCUCGUAGGUGGCCAACUAAGUCAUACGUGAAAUCCCUCGGCUUAACCGGGGAACUGCGUCUGAUACUGGCAGGCUUGAAUUCGGGAGAGGGAUGCGGAAUUCCAGGUGUAGCGGUGAAAUGCGUAGAUAUCUGGAGGAACACCGGUGGCGAAGGCGGCAUCCUGGACCGAAAUUGACGCUGAGGCGCGAAAGCCAGGGGAGCAAACGGG